UGAACAUCCCAAAGAGUAGAAUCGCCUUCCACAUGAAAAGAGCCGGAGGAGCGUUUGGAGGGAAAGUGACCAAGCUGGCUCUGCUAGGAGCUGUCAGUGAUGUGGCCGCCAACAAAUUUGAUUCAUGAACAAUGAUGUAAUGAAAGCUGCUGAUGUCAAAUAUUACGUCAAUGGUGGGUACACUCCUGAUGAGUCUGAGAGGGUUAGAGAAAUAAACAUGUAUAAGAGAAUUAGCAUAACAGCCUUUAAGCAGACAUUUAAUCCAAUGCCCUUGCAAAGACGCUGGAAAGAAUGCCUGGAGAAACCUUCGUUCUAUGCUAGGAGACUGGCUGCAGAGGAAUUUAACAAAAAGAAUUACUGGAAGAAGAAGGGGCUUGCCAUAGACCCUGUGAAAUAUUCCAUUGGGAUUCCUAUAGCUCACAAA
Long non-coding RNA from Sapajus apella (tufted capuchin), 424 nucleotides. RefSeq lists it as uncharacterized. The record is from RefSeq and is a predicted model, not a curated record. Lineage: Eukaryota; Metazoa; Chordata; Mammalia; Primates; Cebidae. The transcript has 3 exons.